CACGUAGGGCGCGAGCGUUGUCCGGAAUCAUUGGGCGUAAAGAGCUCGUAGGCGGCCUGUUGCGUCCGCUGUGAAAUCCCGGGGCUUAACCCCGGGCGUGCAGUGGAUACGGGCUGGCUGGAGGCAGGCAGGGGAGAACGGAAUUCCCGGUGUAGCGGUGAAAUGCGCAGAUAUCGGGAGGAACACCGGUGGCGAAGGCGGUUCUCUGGGCCUGUACUGACGCUGAGGAGCGAAAGCGUGGGGAGCGAACAGG
RNAcentral lists this ribosomal RNA (253 nucleotides) under uncultured bacterium. RNAcentral describes it as "partial 16S ribosomal RNA". It matches the Rfam family "Bacterial small subunit ribosomal RNA", at positions 524 to 776 of the family's 1533-position model. The record is from RNAcentral.